This 773-nucleotide long non-coding RNA is filed under the name Mytilus galloprovincialis (Mediterranean mussel). The record is from RNAcentral. Lineage: Eukaryota; Metazoa; Mollusca; Bivalvia; Mytilida; Mytilidae.
UGAAUUGAUAAAGCAAUAUUUUAAUGUGAGUCUUGCCAGCUAGUCGCAUAUGUUUACUUUUAUUCACAUGUAUUUAUUUUUGACAAUGUUUAAAACGUCUUGAAUUCUGAAUAUCUAGUUGGCCUUACUUGUUCAUUAUAGUACAAAAGAAGAAUGAUUUUGAACCGUUUAUACCUUAAAUUUACACAGAAGUAGCAUAAUGGUGAUAGUUUUACCUUAUAACCAAUAUAUUGUUUUGAUAAGAGAAAGGGAAAUAAAAGAUGAAGAACACACAAAUUAGUAUUAUUUGGUGAAAAUCCACUAUUGGUUUUUUUUUUAAUUUAAAAAGGUCUAUACACAUGAUACAUGUAUACGCAAACUUUAUGUUGGUACAAAAUAAACUUAUUAUGUAAAAAAACUAUCUGGAAAAAGAAUGAAAUAUGUGAUUAGAUUAGAAACGCAAAACCCACCUUUGUCAUUGUUUGUUGAUGUUUAAAAGAAUAUUUAGUUUUUAUAGUACAUUGUAUAUUUUUAUAUAUUAAUAUAUUGUCUUUAUAGUAGAAAUGUGAAUGUACAUUGUUUAUCUCCCUGUAUAAUUCUUUUUUCACUAUAAGGUAUAGGUAGGGUUUGGGGGAUUGAGGGAUUUGCAUUCAAAAAUAUUUUUUUUUGUCAUAUUCUUGACCAGAAUAUUUUUUUUCUUCAAAAUGGUGAUCAGAAUAUUACUCAAAACAACCAAUACAAUCCUUUUUAACAUAUUUAUUUGUUUCUAUUAUGAAUUGGUGUUCAGGGUGUAG